This 71-nucleotide transfer RNA is filed under the name Taeniopygia guttata (zebra finch). It matches the Rfam family "tRNA". Rfam says of the family: Transfer RNA (tRNA) molecules are approximately 80 nucleotides in length. Their secondary structure includes four short double-helical elements and three loops (D, anti-codon, and T loops). Lineage: Eukaryota; Metazoa; Chordata; Aves; Passeriformes; Estrildidae. The record is from Rfam by way of RNAcentral.
GUCCUUGUGGCUCUGCGGUAGAAUUCCUGCCUGCCAUGCUGGCAGCCUGGGUUCACAUCCUAGCAAAGCCA